AUGGACGUUGUGCGGGAUCGUGCGGCUCAAAGCAACGCACAAGUUUUGGACAAGGGCUAUAUGGAGGCAAAUGAGAAGAUCAUGUCAAGUGAAGGUUAUUUUGUGUUUUGGGCUUGGCCCAUUCGGUGGGAACCAUGGCCCAUUCAAUGGAGGUGGAAGGCUGAUCUAGCCUUAUAUGGCACUAGUGAGAUUAAGACAGCUCGUCAGGACAUUUACAAAGCCGAGUACAACAAAUUUGAGCAGUUACCUGGUGAGUCUCUAGAGGACAUGUUUGGUAGGUUUGAGGUCAUAGUAGGAAAAUUGAGGGGUGUCGGGGUUGUGUACAAUGAUUCUGAGAAAGCUAGACACAUCCUAAACUCUCUUGACCCAAUCUAUGAGAUGAGAAAGAUCGCUAUUCAAGAGUCCCAUAAACCUGAUGAGCUCACUGUAGACAUGUUGUUAUCCAAGCUUAAAACUCACCAAAUAGCCAGUGAAGGUAGAAACCCACCUAGGAACAGGACUCUUGCACUAGUUGGUAGUGAAUGCCAAACUGCACAUGGUCCCUCUAGUGUUUCUGAGUCUGGCAGUGGUCCAUCUUCUGGUUUUUCACUUGCUUGUUUGGUUUCAGUCUCUGAUGAACAACUUGAAUCUUUGCCUGAGGAUGAUCUUGCUCUUUUUGUCCGUCGUUUUUCUCGAGCUUAUAAAAACGUGAGAGAAAGGAAAGGCAAACACACAAAAAAUUGUUUUGAGUGUGGUGUGCAGGGACACUACAGGUCUGAUUGUCCAAAUCUCAAAGAUUAUGGUGAAAAUAGCGGUGGCAAGAACAACUACAUCAAGAAGAAGCCGUUCUCUCACCAUGAAACCAAGUUCCAGCCAAAGGCUGAGAAGCAUCUUCAGAAGAUGGUUGCUGCAAUCGCUUCGGGUCUACAAUUUGCAGUAGAUUUAAGCGACAUCGACUCUGACCAGAGUGGUGAGGAUGAUCCUCCUUCUCCCAAAGGGAAGGAUACAAAGAAGAAGAAGGCUGAUCGGCUCACCGGCAUGUGUUUUAUGGCUCAUGAGGCUGAUGAGGAGAACGACAGCAUGGAUGAGGUACAAAUGUCUUAUGAUGAAUUAUAUGCUGAGUAUGUGAAAGUUGAAAAUCUAUUUUUAAUGCAAGCAAAAGUCCUUAAAAAAUGUACGCGCACCAUAAAUGAUAAUCUUGCUCAAAUUGAUUCUCUCACACUUGAAAUCACUACACUGAAGGAUGCUACUGCUAGUGUGCCUUCUCAUGAUAUUGAUGAUUGUGUUGGAUGUGAUGUGUUGCAUGCUGAAUUAGAACUUGCUAGGAAUACUCAUGCUAGUAUGUCACAGUUGCUUGAAUCUGCUAGAAAUGAACUUGAUGAUGUUAAGUUGAGCCCUUGCUCCCUUUGUGUUGAAAAUACACCUAUGUCAGUUCCUAAAGUUCUAGACUGUGCCUGCCCAAACUAUGAUAAAUUAAAUGCUAAAAUUAAGAAUCUUGAACACAUGCUUUUUGAUGCAGAGAAUCCUCCUUCUUGUUUGAAGUGCAAAUACUUUGAUGAUCGGGUUAAAAAGUUCAAUCAAAUGAUCCUAGAUGUGCGUGCUCCUAAAAAUUGUGUAAAUUGUCCUAAACUCGAAGAAGAAGUUGAGGAAUUAGGAGCUCAUCUCAGUGAACUCUAUAAGAAAUAUGAUCUUGUUAAAGUUUCAAAUUCUAAGAAACCUACCGAUUCUCGUGAUGCUUCUUCUAGUUCUGUUACUGCUUGUACCUUUUGUACCAUACUUGAGAAUGAUCUUGUUGCAAUGCAUGAAGCAUUUCGGGUCAGGUUUGGCAAGGGUGUUGCAAAUCCUGUGAGUGUAGAUUGUGUGUCUUGUGAGGGAUUAAAACUUGAGAUUCAGGCCUACAAGGAUAGAUAUGGGAGAGCUGUGAGGGUGUCCUCCUUAAAAGAGUGUUUAUCAUGUGCUUCCUAUGCAAAAGAAGUAGCUUACCUCAAGACGACCCUAGAAAAGCUCUCAAGUGGUGAGAAAAGAUUAAACAUGAUUUUAGAUAAGUCAAAGGUGAGUAAAGGUCUAGGUCUUGGUUUUGACUUUGUGGAAGAUUCUAGGAACAACCCUCCAGAACCCAUAGGCAUUCGAAGUGAUGGAGCUAUCUUGGUGUGUGAGGAUGAGAGAGCGACAGUUUUUCAGUCUGUGGGACUUUUGCCCACGAGUCCAAAUGACAAGGGUACUUCUCCUUCCACUGGUUCUCAUGCUGAAAAAGAGAGAAUAGUUUACCAGUGCACCUAUUGCCACAAGACUAGACACCUUGCUGAGUUUUGCUUCAAAAAACUUAGAGAUGAACAUAGAUCUCGUAUACGUGCUCUUAGGGGCAUGCAACGACAGGCUCGUGCACUGCAUGUUGGUUGUGAGGGUUUGGCGAACAAGUGGCUUAUUGACUCUGGGUGUUCACGCCACAUGACUGGUGAUACCAAAUGGUUCGCCUCCCUCUGCAAAGCGUCUGGUGAUGAAAAGACCACUUUUGGGAAUGAUGCACAGGGUUGCAUUGUGGCCAAAGGAACAGUCCGAGUCAACGAGAACUGUCUUCUCAAGGAUGUAGCCCUUAUAAUGAGGAUGGUGUGGGACAAAACCCCAUACCCCGUGCACCUGUCGCAGAACCUGCUACCACUUCUGUUCCAAUGGAAGAUGUUGAGGCAGAGGCUACCACAACUAUUUCCUCACCUGCUUCUGAGGUCCUUCAGGGAUCUCUACGUCUUCAUCAUGCUCACCCACCAGAUCUGA
Molecule: ribosomal RNA, 2751 nt
Filed under: Triticum aestivum (bread wheat)
Lineage: Eukaryota; Viridiplantae; Streptophyta; Magnoliopsida; Poales; Poaceae
Description: partial small subunit ribosomal RNA
Source: RNAcentral